Molecule: ribosomal RNA, 492 nt
Filed under: uncultured bacterium
Lineage: Bacteria
Description: partial 16S ribosomal RNA
Rfam family: Bacterial small subunit ribosomal RNA
Source: RNAcentral
AGUGAACGCUGGCGGUAGGCCUAACACAUGCAAGUCGAACGGCAGCACAGUAAGAGCUUGCUCUUACGGGUGGCGAGUGGCGGACGGGUGAGGAAUACAUCGGAAUCUACUUUUUCGUGGGGGAUAACGUAGGGAAACUUACGCUAAUACCGCAUACGACCUACGGGUGAAAGCAGGGGAUCUUCGGACCUUGCGCGAUUGAAUGAGCCGAUGUCGGAUUAGCUAGUUGGCGGGGUAAAGGCCCACCAAGGCGACGAUCCGUAGCUGGUCUGAGAGGAUGAUCAGCCACACUGGAACUGAGACACGGUCCAGACUCCUACGGGACGCAGCAGUGGGGAAUAUUGGACAAUGGGCGCAAGCCUGAUCCAGCCAUACCGCGUGGGUGAAGAAGGCCUUCGGGUUGUAAAGCCCUUUUGUUGGGAAAGAAAAGCAGCAGGUUAAUACCCCGCUGUUCUGACGGUACCCAAAGAAUAAGCACCGGCUAACUUCGUG